Molecule: ribosomal RNA, 253 nt
Filed under: uncultured bacterium
Lineage: Bacteria
Description: partial 16S ribosomal RNA
Rfam family: Bacterial small subunit ribosomal RNA
Source: RNAcentral
UACGUAUGGUGCAAGCGUUAUCCGGAUUUAUUGGGCGUAAAGGGAACGCAGGCGGUCUUUUAAGUCUGAUGUGAAAGCCUUCGGCUUAACCGGAGUAGUGCAUUGGAAACUGGGAGACUUGAGUGCAGAAGAGGAGAGUGGAACUCCAUGUGUAGCAGUGAAAUGCGUAGAUAUAUGGAAGAACACCAGUGGCGAAAGCGGCUCUCUGGUCUGUAACUGACGCUGAGGUUCGAAAGCGUGGGUAGCAAACAGG